Molecule: ribosomal RNA, 497 nt
Filed under: uncultured bacterium
Lineage: Bacteria
Description: partial 16S ribosomal RNA
Rfam family: Bacterial small subunit ribosomal RNA
Source: RNAcentral
GAUGAACGCUGGCGGCGUGCCUAAUACAUGCAAGUCGAGCGAACAGACGAGGAGCUUGCUCCUCUGAUGUUAGCGGCGGACGGGUGAGUAACACGUGGAUAACCUACCUAUAAGACUGGGAUAACUUCGGGAAACCGGAGCUAAUACCGGAUAACAUAUUGAACCGCAUGGUUCAACAGUGAAAGACGGUCUUGCUGUCACUUAUAGAUGGAUCCGCGCCGCAUUAGCUAGUUGGUAAGGUAACGGCUUACCAAGGCAACGAUGCGUAGCCGACCUGAGAGGGUGAUCGGCCACACUGGAACUGAGACACGGUCCAGACUCCUACGGGAGGCAGCAGUAGGGAAUCUUCCGCAAUGGGCGAAAGCUUGACGGAGCAACGCCGCGUGAGUGAUGAAGGUCUUCGGAUCGUAAAACUCUGUUAUUAGGGAAGAACAAAUGUGUAAGUAACUAUGCACGUCUUGACGGUACCUAAUCAGAAAGCCACGGCUAACUACGUG